Molecule: long non-coding RNA, 434 nt
Filed under: Chinchilla lanigera (long-tailed chinchilla)
Lineage: Eukaryota; Metazoa; Chordata; Mammalia; Rodentia; Chinchillidae
Description: lncRNA (ENSCLAG00000026355.1)
Source: RNAcentral
GGCGGGAAAGGCUGAGGCAGGGGGCGGGGAGGUGACGCGGGCAGAGCCGGAACGCGAAAAAUCCGUCGGGGGCGCGCACGGGCGCCGGAUCGAUCGCGGCCGCUGCGGAGCCGGGGCGCGGAGACCAACGCCUGCCCCAGCUGCCAGGAAACUGCCGCUUUCAAACCCGCCGCAACCUCCGCCUCCUGCCUCUUCCCUUCCCCCCGCCCUCGCCCAGCCCUCUUCCAGUGCCCCGCCCCCUCGCGGCGCCCGGCGCGCUGCCGUCACCGGCCGGGCGCUCGGGAACGAGCCCAGCACUCAACUCUCUCGCCGGGGAUUGGCCUGCGGCGGGCAGCGGGCGGGCCGUCGGCGAGAAUGAAGACCACUAAUUGAAUACACAAGAACGGAUGGCUACAGUUCUCUGGGGGCAAUGUGACUGGGAGAAUGGAAGAGGG